GGUGGUUCUCGGGUGACACACCCCAGAACUGGGCUCCCUCCUCUCUGGUUCCAGGUGCAUCACCCGAGAACUGCA
Non-coding RNA from Myotis davidii, 75 nucleotides. Lineage: Eukaryota; Metazoa; Chordata; Mammalia; Chiroptera; Vespertilionidae. The record is from Rfam.